This 485-nucleotide ribosomal RNA is filed under the name uncultured bacterium. Its description in RNAcentral is "bacterial SSU rRNA". It matches the Rfam family "Bacterial small subunit ribosomal RNA", at positions 30 to 507 of the family's 1533-position model. The record is from RNAcentral.
UUGAACGCUGGCGGCAUGCCUUACACAUGCAAGUCGAACGGCAGGCACGGGAGCAAUCCUGGUGGCGAGUGGCGAACGGGUGAGUAAUAUAUCGGAACGUGCCCAGUCGUGGGGGAUAACGUAGCGAAAGCUACGCUAAUACCGCAUACGAUCUAUGGAUGAAAGCGGGGGAUCGCAAGACCUCGCGCGAUUGGAGCGGCCGAUAUCAGAUUAGGUAGUUGGUGAGGUAAAGGCUCACCAAGCCGACGAUCUGUAGCUGGUCUGAGAGGACGACCAGCCACACUGGGACUGAGACACGGCCCCAGACUCCUACGGGAGGCAGCAGUGGGGAAUUUUGGACAAUGGGCGCAAGCCUGAUCCAGCAAUGCCGCGUGCAGGAUGAAGGCCUUCGGGUUGUAAACUGCUUUUGUACGGAACGAAACGGUGAGCUCUAAUACAGUUUGCUAAUGACGGUACCGUAAGAAUAAGCACCGGCUAACUACGUG